GCACUCUCGCUUCUCUUCAGUUGUCGAAUAAAUCUUUCGCCUUUUAGUAAAGAUUUCCGUGGAGAGGAGUACUAUGAUGAGUCUAAGUUAAUUUUUUUGUACCCUCGACCUGUUAGGUUGGGC
Molecule: small nuclear RNA, 123 nt
Filed under: Glossina brevipalpis
Lineage: Eukaryota; Metazoa; Arthropoda; Insecta; Diptera; Glossinidae
Description: U5 spliceosomal RNA
Rfam family: U5 spliceosomal RNA
About the family: U5 RNA is a component of both types of known spliceosome. The precise function of this molecule is unknown, though it is known that the 5' loop is required for splice site selection and p220 binding, and that both the 3' stem-loop and the Sm site are important for Sm protein binding and cap methylation.
Source: RNAcentral